Molecule: ribosomal RNA, 509 nt
Filed under: uncultured bacterium
Lineage: Bacteria
Description: bacterial SSU rRNA
Rfam family: Bacterial small subunit ribosomal RNA
Source: RNAcentral
AUUGAACGCUGGCGGCACGCUUAACACAUGCAAGUCGAACGGCAGCGGGGUUGUUUUUUCGGAAACGACCGCCGGCGAGUGGCGGACGGGUGAGUAACGCGUUGGGACCUGCCCUUAAGUGGGGGACAACCCGGGGAAACUCGGGCUAAUACCGCAUGCCCUCGAGAGAGGAAAGCUGCCCUAUGGGUGGCGCUUAAGGAUGGCCCUGCGUCCGAUUAGCUGGUUGGUGAGGUAACGGCUCACCAAGGCGACGAUCGGUAACUGUUCUGAGAGGAAGGACAGUCACACUGGGACUGAGACACGGCCCAGACUCCUACGGGAGGCAGCAGUGGGGAAUAUUGGACAAUGGGGGCAACCCUGAUCCAGCGAUGCCGCGUGUGUGAAGAAGGCCUGCGGGUUGUAAAGCACUUUCACAGGCGAGGAUGGUACUGAUAUUGAAUAGGUAUUGGUAUUGACGUUACCCUGAGAAGCAGCACCGGCUAACUCUGUGCCAGCCGCCGCCGUAACAC